ACAGUUCUGUAACAGUUUAACUGACAUUGUUACGCUUGUCAGAUCUGUGACAGGCAUCUUUUAUCUCCCCAGAUGUCCUGAUGGCACCUUUUUAUUACAGCUGUGUUGAUUGUUGUUUUGUGAUUUGUUGAUUUAGUUCUGUGGUCAGUUUUCUGCUAACCAAGCUAGCCAUUAUACUCAGGGCUGUAGCCAGGAUUUUAGAAAUACUGAGAGUUGGACCUGAAUCUUAAAUGGAACAAGGUGUUGGAAGCCAACAACACCUCCUUCAGCCGACUUGGGAAAGCUAAAGGGCACCUUCAGAAGCUGGGUUUCAACAUAGAUGUCACCUCUCAUAAAACACGAAAGCAAGAUGAUGUCAGCAUGUCCCGACCUGAAACUACUGCUUCCAACAACAUGGCCUGUUGAAGAAAUUAACAACCUUUCUGGGAACCACCGGGGGGCUCAUGAAGCACAUGAAUAUAUGGCUCCCCCACUCAGAGUCUCGACUCCCCUGGUUCUCUCCUGUCUUCCCGCCACCAGCUGGCUCCGGUCUAUCAUCAUACUUCUCCAUCCAUCCGUCCACGACCCUGAUUUCUCCCCUCAUCCAUUCAUCCCUCACCCUUCAUCCCUAUACGCCCCUCCCCCAUCCCUCUAUCCCUCCCUCCGGACCCUUAAUCCAUCCCCUCCUACAUCAUCUUGGCUCUCCUCCAUCCAUACAAUACACAAUAUACUAUUCUAAAUCCA
This is a long non-coding RNA of Siniperca chuatsi (mandarin fish), 723 nucleotides long. RefSeq lists it as uncharacterized. The record is from RefSeq and is a predicted model, not a curated record. The transcript has 4 exons. Lineage: Eukaryota; Metazoa; Chordata; Actinopteri; Centrarchiformes; Sinipercidae.